CAUAAAAUAGCUUAAAAUAAAAGCAAUUUAUUUACAUUAAAAAGAUACAAAUAUGUUUUUAUGA
RNAcentral lists this transfer RNA (64 nucleotides) under Kaestneriella sp. KaspPE. RNAcentral describes it as "tRNA-Val". Lineage: Eukaryota; Metazoa; Arthropoda; Insecta; Psocodea; Peripsocidae. The record is from RNAcentral.